This is an RNA transcript of Panicum virgatum (switchgrass), 3021 nucleotides long. RefSeq lists it as uncharacterized. NCBI's taxonomy places the organism in Eukaryota, Viridiplantae, Streptophyta, Magnoliopsida, Poales, Poaceae. The record is from RefSeq and is a predicted model, not a curated record. The transcript has 6 exons.
GCGAGGACAAGGAAAGAACACCAACGCCACGCCGCGCCACCACCGAGCCGAGGCCGGAGAGAGCAAAGCACCCGCACCCGUACACGCCAGCAGCAGGCAACCGCCAACGAGCGAGACCAAGGCAACCAAGCAGAACGAAGACCAGGAAGCACAUCGCGCAGCUACAAGGCUAGAAGCCCGCUACCAGCAGCAAGCACGCACGCGGCCGCGAGCAACAAGCUCCGUCAGCACCACCACCACCACCAGCGAGAGCAGCGGGCCGGCAGCCGGGAGGCCCGCCCCCGUCGCGACCAGCGAGCAAGCGGCAGCGCUCCCGUCUCUCCCACCGAUCGCUCCUCCCCCUCGUCGUCCUGCUCCAGCAGCAGCAGCAGCAGCAGCGAGUUAGUUCUCCUGUUGGUUUAUUUGUCUACUGGGGCAUAUUGGAUUGGAGCAGCCAGCAAAAAUUGAAGAACCCAAGAAUUACUUUGAACUUAGAUUUAUAUUCUGAUUGUAUGGACUCCCAUUUCUGAGAGAUGCCAUCAUCGACACCACCGCCGCCACAAAAUUUGCUCCCACUACCAUCACCGGUGGUUGGGCGGAGCACUCGCAUUAAUCUCGGGGAAAUCAAACAAAAACUAGUUACGAGGAUUGGCCCAGAGCAGGCAAAGAAGUACUUUGAGCACUUGCAGAGGUUUUUGUCUUCGAAGCUGAGCAAGACUGUGUUUGACAAGCUCUGCCUCAGAAUACUUGGUCAUGAAAAUGUUCGGCUUCAUAACCACCUAAUUCGCUCUAUUCUCCACAAUGCCUGCCAAGCAAGCGGGCCACCAACAGCCACUGCACCUAAAUCAAUUGGAGUUGCUAAGAAUCCAAAUCGUGUCUUAGUUCCACCAGUUCUGGUCUCUGACAAUGGUGAUGUUCCAUGGCAACAUGUGAAGGCCCACUAUCCACAAGGCAGAAAUGCAGAUGCUGUCCAGGAAAAUGGUGUUGUGCAUUUGACCAAACCGAAAAGAUUUCUACAGCCUCAACAAAGUGACCUUGUGGAACCACCGUCCAAAAGAUUGCGCGUUGAAAAUGCAUAUUCAAAUUUAUCUGACCCCCCAAAUAGCAACUGUCCUGAUGUUGUUGGCAGAGAAAAUAUGGAAGGGAUUGCACAGAAUGCUCGAGAUCCAAUAACUGCCCCACUAGGGAUUGCCUUCUGCUCUGGUCAUUUUGGUGGCAGUUGGAAAACUUUGGCAUUUUCCUCUAGCGCUGGCGGUGAUAACUCUUUUUGUUGCUAUGACCUUGGUCAGCUGUGUGAUACUUCAUCACUGAAACAGCGGAUGGGGAGAAUAGCAGAAACAGAAGGGUUGGAUGGUGUGUCAUUAGAUUGUGCUAAUUUAUUGAAUAAUGGUACCGAUUUAUUCUUGAAACGUCUUAUUGGAUCUUGUAUUGAACUAGUUAGAGCAAGAUCUCGGCAUGAUCGAAUGAAUCAGAUGGCACUAAAACAACAGUUAAGUCGAAAGCUUAUAAAUGGUGUGCAGCUGCAAAAUCAGGUGCAUGGUCGAAGUGCCAAUACAUGCCCACAAAUCAGCUCGAUUUCGUUGCAAGACUUCAAGGCUCAAUCAGAGCUAAAUCCUCAGCUGCUUGGAGUCAAGUCAUCACUGCUACUUGAAAAAAUGAAUUCAUAUGAUUAAUCAGUUAGGAUCCAAAUGAAUUAAUCGUUCUACAGAGGAUUAACCUUUGCCAAGCAGGCAAGAGGAUUGCAAGCUUGAAAUUCUAUCCGGGUCACAUGCACCGACAGCCAAAUGGUAUGUGGAUGUCUGCAUAUUUUCUUAUGCAACAAGAGGCCUGAACCAAUGCCCCCAGUUCCUGGUGUGAUUUGUAGCACACUCAGAAAAUGCACCAGGCUGAGGUUGGAGUUCUGUGCUGAAGUCUCAGCCUCACCAGCUAGCUUGCUUCUCCACAAUUUUUCUGGGCACAGCAAUGUCCUGACUUGCUUCCUUGCGUAUCUGCAGGCAUGUAGCAGACACCAAAUAUUCUCAGCUUGGUGUUUCAUAUGAUGUAUGGUGUACAUUUUCAUAAUUUGUUGAUGGGCAGUGGAAGGUGAACUCCACAGCUCACUAUUAAGGCUGCUCCAUCAAAAUAAGUGAAGAUCUCAUAGCUUCUAAGACUGUUGAUUAUACAAAGACAUCAAUGUUGUGGUCUUAUGCACCAAGGCAAGAUUGCAUAAACAACCAUGGUGUUGCAGGGUGCAAAACAGAUUUAGAACAGAGCCUUCCAACAUAAAGAGAAGUGAUCUUUUUUUCACGAGUACGCCGGAGAGCUGUGCAUCAUUGCAUUAAGAUAGGAAGGAAAGGAAAAAAUAGCCGUACAACACCCUCCACACACACCCCUGAGCUUUUAGACUGGAUCGCGCCUGUGAAAAAUUAACACGACAACCCUAGACCUUGCUUCAUCUAGGAGAGCAGGCAAAUAAAUGUGGAAAAUUGACCGCAAGGCACAAAGGGAAUGGGAUAGAAAGGAAAUGGCGUGAUUCAAGAUGCAAUAACCAAAGAACAACAUUCCGCAACCAGGGGAAUCUAAAUUACGCUGCCAUUCAGCCAAGAAAGAGGCCAGGAGACUGUACCUGGGCUGAUCUCGGAGCUGCUCACAAGAAUCCUGAAUGCUGAUCAAUAUCUGCAAUUAAAGGUCACCAAUUCAUGCCGAAGAGAACAGAAAGUUUGCAUUGCGGUGCCCACCUUAUAUGGCUUGCCGCCUGCACCAGGAGGAUCUGGGAGGUUGCGGCGUUGAAAUAGUCCGACUUUCUGAAUGUUUGGCCCUUGUGCUUCCGUUUGUUGGCUCCGGUGGGCAUUCCAUAAAUAGUGAGCUGAGACAAACCUCCAUUCAUUCAUGGUCUGUGGAUCUGCCGUUUUGUGUUUUCAAGCCUAAUAACGGCAGGCACGGUUACAUGCUUGCCUGUCUCUGAAUUUUGUUGCUGGCACGCGUGUCCCCUGAUGCAUUUGUUGCCAUUCGAGAUGACAUGAGUUUAGCUGCCAAUAUGUUCGUGCCUGUUCAUCCUUCAAA